CUUCACCGAGCCGAGCAGCAGCGGGUGUUCGGGGUCGCGGUCGGUGCCGUAGGCGGCGAUCAGGGCCUGGGCCUC
Molecule: non-coding RNA, 75 nt
Organism: Streptomyces sp. 769
Lineage: Bacteria; Bacillati; Actinomycetota; Actinomycetes; Kitasatosporales; Streptomycetaceae
Source: Rfam